UACGGAAGGUCCGGGCGUUAUCCGGAUUUAUUGGGUUUAAAGGGAGCGCAGGCCGAAGAUUAAGCGUGACGUGAAAUGCCGCGGCUCAACCGUGGAAGUGCAGCGCGAACUGGUCGUCUUGAGUGCGUACGACGUAGGCGGAAUUCGUGGUGUAGCGGUGAAAUGCUUAGAUAUCACGAAGAACCCCGAUUGCGAAGGCAGCCUACGAGGCCGCAACUGACGCUAAAGCUCGAAGGUGCGGGUAUCGAAC
RNAcentral lists this ribosomal RNA (250 nucleotides) under uncultured prokaryote. Its description in RNAcentral is "partial 16S ribosomal RNA". It matches the Rfam family "Bacterial small subunit ribosomal RNA", at positions 524 to 773 of the family's 1533-position model. The record is from RNAcentral.